RNAcentral lists this non-coding RNA (110 nucleotides) under Leptocylindrus aporus. Lineage: Eukaryota; Bacillariophyta; Leptocylindrophyceae; Leptocylindrales; Leptocylindraceae. The record is from RNAcentral.
UGGGAAUAUAAAGGUAAUGAAGAUGGGCUAAUUCAUGGGCCGUACACUACUGAGCAAAUGAUGUCAUGGCGGUCGGCUGGCUUUUUCGUUGGCACACAAGCGGUUGAUAU